CUUGAUUAUACCUUCUUAUUUUGCAGAAAGGGGACUGAAGAACUUCCUCUUUAAAACAGCCUUCAAAGGAUCUGAAAUAUUACAAAAAUCAGAGACCAAAUUCACAGCUGGCACAAGUGGGCACCUCCCAGCUUGAGUAGGUUUCCCCUCAGCCCCAUCUGAGACAUCAAGAACAAUGAUUCCAGAUGUAAGCAAAAAGUUUUCCUUCGCAGCACAUCACAGGACCUGCAGGCGUGCCUCGAAAUGAAGAUUGCAAAUGACGUGGGUGCUGUGAGCCUGAUGAACACCUUGAGAGCUGACAGAUGACAAUCUUAAAAGAUUGAUAAAAGUAAACUGUGGACCUUUUCCCUUGGCUCGAGGUGGUGACAAAGACAUCUGCAGCCUUUGCCUGGAUCGUUCGGGUCAAGAGUGAACAGGAGAGGGCAGCAUCGCUUUAGACUUACGAUGCAAGGCACGGCCUUAACACCCCACAGAAGUGCACACUAUGGGGAAAGCAAAGGAGUGUGAGAGUUAACAGGAGUAGAUACUGCUCCAUUUUGCAAAUGGGGAAACCAGAGUACACAGGAGUCACAGAUCUUGUCAAAACCAUGCAGCCAAGCCCUGGCAGAUUCAGGAAUGGAAUCCGUGAGUCCUGACUCUUUAGUUCCCCCGCUCUGAUCACCAGACAACACUCCCUUCCUCUGAAAUAGGCUAUUUUGAUUGAAAACAGAUGGUGUACAUUUUUGGCACAGUGUUUUUUAAGUAUAUUAAAAUGCUCUGAAUGAGUAUGUGCUUAUAUCAUACCUACAUCUGUAUACAUGUAUAUACAUGCAUACUGCAUCUAUGCAUACAGAAAUAGGUAUGAGUUAAGGACAUAUUAAUUUACAUAUAUCGUAUGCAAAUGUAAUGGAUAUACUGAAAGAUACUUAAGUGCAGCUGGACAGCUGACAUACCUAAACACAUAAGCUGUAGUCUUCAGUGGUAUUGUAAUUACACACUACAUAGUCUCUCUCUCUAAGCAACAGACUUUAUGCUCUUGAUGGAGUGUCCACUUUGAUGCAAUUCAUGCAUUAAAGUUAUUUAUCAUUUGAUGAAAAAUUUUAGCGUUGUUUCUGUAAGGGAUGAAUUCUAUCCAUUUUCAUUAGCUACAGGACAAACCUCCAUCCUAGCUGAACAAUGCCUUUAGUGGGCACUGCCUGCAUUUGUUGUGUUGU
RNAcentral lists this long non-coding RNA (1193 nucleotides) under Parus major (Great Tit). Its description in RNAcentral is "lncRNA (ENSPMJG00000011333.1)". The record is from RNAcentral. Lineage: Eukaryota; Metazoa; Chordata; Aves; Passeriformes; Paridae.